RNAcentral lists this transfer RNA (72 nucleotides) under Daphnia pulex (common water flea). Its description in RNAcentral is "tRNA-Thr". It matches the Rfam family "tRNA". From Rfam's summary of the family: Transfer RNA (tRNA) molecules are approximately 80 nucleotides in length. Lineage: Eukaryota; Metazoa; Arthropoda; Branchiopoda; Diplostraca; Daphniidae. RNAcentral also lists the same sequence under 2 other names. The record is from RNAcentral.
GCCUUCAUAGCUCAGUGGUAGAGCGUUGGUCUCGUAAACCAAAGGCCGAGAGUUCAAUCCUCUCUGAAGGCA